Molecule: long non-coding RNA, 358 nt
Organism: Anguilla anguilla (European eel)
Lineage: Eukaryota; Metazoa; Chordata; Actinopteri; Anguilliformes; Anguillidae
Exons: 3
Source: RefSeq, a predicted model, not a curated record
AGCAAGUUCAUCGCAAAAUGGCCAACAUUCUACUAACCUAGGAUUAUUAUUACUGUCUGCAAAGGCCUUCGCCCUGGUACUCAUGUGGAUGACCUUCUGUCCACUCAGGAGCAAUCGAAUGAUUGCGGAUGGGACAGUGACUUGGCAGCUGUCCUCCUGCUCGUUCAUCUCUUGCCUCCAACCGCAAAAGGAAAGAAGACUGGGAAAAUCAGUGCCACUGAAGCUGCUGACCAGGUGAUCAAGUUCAUGAAGGUGGGGACGAGCAUGGUGACGUUCCUUGACAGAGUUGGAUCAGCACAGCCCUUCCUCCUCUGUGUUGGAGAAAAGAAGAGUAGUAUCCAGACGUUUUACGUCAUCC